UACGUAGGGCGCAAGCGUUGUCCGGAAUUAUUGGGCGUAAAGAGCUCGUAGGUGGCUGGUUGCGUCUGCCGUGAAAGCCCGUGGCUUAACUACGGGUCUGCGGUGGAUACGGGCCGGCUUGAGGUAGGUAGGGGCAAGCGGAAUUCCUGGUGUAGCGGUGAAAUGCGCAGAUAUCAGGAGGAACACCGGUGGCGAAGGCGGCUUGCUGGGCCUUACCUGACGC
RNAcentral lists this ribosomal RNA (223 nucleotides) under uncultured prokaryote. RNAcentral's name for it is "partial 16S ribosomal RNA". It matches the Rfam family "Bacterial small subunit ribosomal RNA", at positions 524 to 746 of the family's 1533-position model. The record is from RNAcentral.